RNAcentral lists this ribosomal RNA (544 nucleotides) under uncultured bacterium. RNAcentral's name for it is "bacterial SSU rRNA". It matches the Rfam family "Bacterial small subunit ribosomal RNA", at positions 777 to 1322 of the family's 1533-position model. The record is from RNAcentral.
AAUAGAUACCCUGGUAGUCCACGCCGUAAACGUUGGGCGCUAAGUGUGGGGUCCGUUCCACGGGUUCCGUGCCGCAGCUAACGUAUUAAGCGCCCCGCCUGGGGAGUACGGCCGCAAGGCUAAAACUCAAAGGAAUUGACGGGGGCCCGCACAAGCGGCGGAGCAUGCGGAUUAAUUCGAUGCAACGCGAAGAACCUUACCAAGGCUUGACAUGGGCGGUAAUCCGGUAGAGAUGUCGGGUCCGUAAGGGCCGUUCACAGGUGGUGCAUGGUUGUCGUCAGCUCGUGUCGUGAGAUGUUGGGUUAAGUCCCGCAACGAGCGCAACCCUUGUUCCAUGUUGCCAGCACUUCGGGUGGGGACUCAUGGGAGACUGCCGGGGUCAACUCGGAGGAAGGUGGGGAUGACGUCAAAUCAUCAUGCCCCUUAUGUCUUGGGCUUCACGCAUGCUACAAUGGCCAGUACAAAGGGCUGCGAGACCGUGAGGUGGAGCGAAUCCCAAAAAGCUGGUCUCAGUUCGGAUCGGGGUCUGCAACUCGACCCCGUG